Molecule: ribosomal RNA, 425 nt
Filed under: uncultured bacterium
Lineage: Bacteria
Description: bacterial SSU rRNA
Rfam family: Bacterial small subunit ribosomal RNA
Source: RNAcentral
GUGGGGAAUAUUGGACAAUGGGCGCAAGCCUGAUCCAGCAAUGCCGCGUGGGUGAAGAAGGUCUUCGGAUCGUAAAGCCCUUUCGACAGGGACGAUGAUGACGAUACCUGUAGAAGAAGCCCCGGCUAACUUCGUGCCAGCAGCCGCGGUAAUACGAAGGGGGCUAGCGUUACUCGGAAUUACUGGGCGUAAAGGGCGCGUAGGCGGCUCUGUUAGUCAGGCGUGAAAUUCCUGGGCUUAACCUGGGGACUGCGCUUGAUACUGCAGGGCUUGAGGCCGAGAGAGGGUGGUGGAAUUCCCAGUGUAGAGGUGAAAUUCGUAGAUAGUGGGAAGAACACCGGUGGCGAAGGCGACCACCUGGCUCGGUUCUGACGCUGAGGCGCGACAGCGUGGGGAGCAAACAGGAUUAGAAACCCGUGUAGUCC